CUAUGAACAUUAUAAAUUGUUAAAAAGUUAACUAUUAAAUAAAUAAUAGAUAAAUGAGUUUGAUUUAAAAUCAUUUUGUGGUAAAAGUUCCUGGAGUUGAGUAUUAUAAAAAAUACUUGAAUAAAUCAAUCGAAUCAACACUUAUAUAUGGAUCAAAAUGACGAAUACAGAUAUCAAUCAUGUAAUCUACAACAAUACCAUACAAGUAUGAGCGACUUGAUUGGAUCAAAGUAAGACUAUCACUCGAGUAUUUAGCAUGUUCGCCCUUCCUAGAUGAAAGUUGAUACCCCAGACUUCUUCAAGUUCUCGCACCAUCAAGAACGUCAUGCACAUGCGAUUCAAGUUCCAGUGGCCGGAUUUCUGGCGAGGUGAACGCGUUCCCCCAGGUGGUAUCUCUCGUUUGCGUUCACUCAUCGCGCGAGUAGAACAGACCGAGUCCUUUAGCAGUCCUCUUCAGUCGUGUUUGACCAGCCAAAGAAAGGACUGUAUUAUUGCAGCCGACGUGAAUAACAGUUAAUUGAACAUACCAAAAAUUUUCAGGUCUACCUAAAAGACCGGGAAAGCCGGUCGUAGUGACCGUUGGGUUUAUGAUUCAACCGGCAAAGUAAAGAAAAAGAACUGAAGCGUAUCAGCACGUGGCCAGUAGCUUGACACAACAAUAUUUAAACGUAUAGUCGACCAUUCACCACCACUACUUCUAUAAGCUUCCACCACCUCGACAUCAGUUUGACUCCUGCUGACUGCUACCACUGUUAGUCCGACAUUAGCUUCAUUUUUACCCUGUCCAAUCUGCUGAGAACUCUAGAAAAUAAAACAUCAGAUUAAUAAUACUUCAUCUCAUAUUUCAAUGAAAUUAAUAACUAUGAUUAGCAUUUUUCUAUUAAAUUAUUGAUCCAAGAAAUAUUAUUAGUUUCAAA
Chelonus insularis is the source of this 917-nucleotide long non-coding RNA. RefSeq lists it as uncharacterized. The record is from RefSeq and is a predicted model, not a curated record. Lineage: Eukaryota; Metazoa; Arthropoda; Insecta; Hymenoptera; Braconidae. The transcript has 3 exons.